CUCCAAGGUCUCGUGUCUCUCCCACCUCCUUCACCAAUUUGCUGCAGCUCCUCCCUUGUUGCCUUCAUGAAUUCUGCAGCAAAAAAUAGGCAAAGAACACACAAAAAAUUGCAUUUUUCUGAGAUUCUUGGAACACUAGAAUUGAAAAAUCUGCUCAUUCAAUUAACCGGUAUGCUGCAAGUAAAGAACGGUUAAAUCCAGAAAAAAGGCAGGAAAACAUUUUGACUCCUGCAAUGUAGCACUGCGACUGCACAUGGCACACCACCUACUUGCUUGCUUCCCCAAGAAUACCCCUCUUGGUUUGAUUCCGCAGAGAAACACACACACAUAUGGUUCAGCAACUUGAAAAGCAAAAAGAAAAAAACACAGCAGAUUCUUUAGAACACUACGGUGCGACAUCUUGAAACUUGCCAAGCUCCUGUUCAUUGGGGGGGGGGGGGGGGGGGGGCUUCUAACUCCUUGUAGUCAGCAUCCCUAUUUCUUCACAUCGUUAUCCAGCAUGUACAAAAGUACAAAAGAAACUUGCCCGAAAAGCUCCUGUUCAAAAAACAGAAAAAGAUAAACAAAAUGGACGCCGAUGUUGAAAAAUAUGUGGUUUGAAAAUAAAGAUGUUCAUGUUUAUUUUUUGGGCAUGCAAGUAUAUUAGUUUACUGCCAACUAUAUAUUAAAAAAAGCAACUAUAGUCUAUAGUGUGAGCAACUAAAAUAGUUCAAAGAACCUUAAUUAGCUAAGUUAGAAAAGCGACUUCAGGUGUUGGAGUGGGCAAGUAUAUCGACA
RNAcentral lists this long non-coding RNA (777 nucleotides) under Brachypodium distachyon (stiff brome). RNAcentral describes it as "long non-coding RNA (BDIS_LNC002546)". Lineage: Eukaryota; Viridiplantae; Streptophyta; Magnoliopsida; Poales; Poaceae. The record is from RNAcentral.